Molecule: ribosomal RNA, 429 nt
Filed under: Chloroflexota bacterium
Lineage: Bacteria; Bacillati; Chloroflexota
Description: Chloroflexi bacterium partial 16S ribosomal RNA
Rfam family: Bacterial small subunit ribosomal RNA
Source: RNAcentral
UGGGGAAUAUUGCACAAUGGGCGCAAGCCUGAUGCAGCCAUGCCGCGUGUAUGAAGAAGGCCUUCGGGUUGUAAAGUACUUUCAGUCGGGAGGAAGGUGGUAAGGUUAAUAACCUUAUCAAUUGACGUUACCGACAGAAGAAGCACCGGCUAACUCCGUGCCAGCAGCCGCGGUAAUACGGAGGGUGCAAGCGUUAAUCGGAAUUACUGGGCGUAAAGCGCACGCAGGCGGUUGAUUGAGUCAGAUGUGAAAUCCCCGGGCUUAACCCGGGAAUUGCAUUUAAUACUGGUCAGCUAGAGUUUUGUAGAGGGGGGGAGAAUUCAAGGUGAGGCGGUGAAAUGCGUAGAGAUCGGGAGGAAUCCGGGGGGCGAAGGCGGCCCCCUGGACAAAGACUGACGCUCAGGUGCAAAAGCGUGGGGAGCAAACAGG